RNAcentral lists this ribosomal RNA (484 nucleotides) under uncultured bacterium. RNAcentral describes it as "partial 16S ribosomal RNA". It matches the Rfam family "Bacterial small subunit ribosomal RNA", at positions 29 to 507 of the family's 1533-position model. The record is from RNAcentral.
AAUGAACGCUGGCGGCAUGCUUUACACAUGCAAGUCGAACGGCAGCGCGGGCUUCGGCCUGGCGGCGCGUGGCGAACGGGUGAGUAAUGCAUCGGAACGUGCCCAGCUGUGGGGGAUAGCCCGGCGAAAGCCGGAUUAAUACCGCAUACGACCUGAUGGUGAAAGCGGGGGAGCGAAAGGCCGCGCGCUAUUGGAGCGGCCGAUGUCGGAUUAGCUAGUUGGUGGGGUAAAGGCUUACCAAGUCGACGAUCCGUGGCUGGUCUGAGAGGACGACCAGCCACACUAGGACUGGAACACGGCCCAGACUCCUAAGGGAGGCAGCAGUGGGGAAUGUUGGACAAUGGGGGCAACCCUGAUCCAGCCAUGCCGCGUGCGGGAAGAAGGCCUUCGGGUUGUAAACCGCUUUUGUUCGGGAAGAAAUCCUCUGGGCUAAUACCACGGGGGGAUGACGGUACCGGAAGAAUAAGCACCGGCUAACUACGUG